UUUAGUUAUCGAAUAUUCUUCUUUGAUCCUGGAAUAAAAGGCAAAUGCACUAAUCAAAAUUUCAAUGUCAAUGGACACUACCCAAAGCUACUCCAUGAGAACCCGACUUUGGAAGAAGAGAUUGUAGAAGAGCUCUCUUUGGGAAAGGCUGCUUAUGCGAUCAUUUAUCCGCCUUGACUCCUCGGGUGUGUUCUUUCCUUUCUCUCACUCUUAUUUUAUAUUUAUGCUCUUUCAUUGAGGACAAUGUAU
This 249-nucleotide long non-coding RNA is filed under the name Lathyrus oleraceus (garden pea). RNAcentral describes it as "Pisum sativum (pea) long non-coding RNA (PSAT_LNC032991)". Lineage: Eukaryota; Viridiplantae; Streptophyta; Magnoliopsida; Fabales; Fabaceae. The record is from RNAcentral.